AGGAUUCUAUGGGCCUUGCUGGGCUCUUGCCUUCAAAAACCCAGGCCUCCUAAUUCUCCCCAGAAACAGCUGCAUUGGAGACCCCAAGUCUCGGGAGCACACCCCUGCUUCCUGCCCUGUGACUGGUCAGUCUUUAACCUGUGCCUUGGCGGGCGCUGGCUUUGCGGUGCUUCCUCUGCAGGGACUGACCUCGGACACCCAGCUUGUCAUUGCCCCGGGGGCGUCCUGGCUUUGGUUCUGUUAACACCUCAGUGCUGAGAAGGCACCUCAGCCCUGGCUUUCUCUCCCUGUCCCGUUCUCUCUCUUGGGCCCCCUGCCUCGAGGCCCAGAUUUUAUAUCUUUGCUCCCAUAAACCUCUGGUCCCUGAAGCUUUCCUCUCAACCUCAGCGGGUCCCCACCUCUCCGUCAAGUUCAGUCUUGGGAAAAUGCCAGGCAUGAUGGCUCGCACCUGUGGUUUCAGCUGUUCCGGAGGCCAAGGCAGGAUGAUAACUUGAGCCCAGGAGGUCAAGGGGUCAAGGCUGUAGUGAGCCAUGAUCCUGCCACUGCACUCCAACCUGGGGGAUAGAGUGAAAUCCCGUCUCUGAAAAAAUAAAUAAAUACAUACAUAAAAAACAUUUGCUGUCUCAUUUGAAGGUAAAUGGCAGGCAUGUCAACAGACCACUUACAGACCUUAGCAGCGUCUGCUAAGAAUAAAAGCUUUCUCCAAAAUCCCA
RNAcentral lists this long non-coding RNA (713 nucleotides) under Homo sapiens (human). RNAcentral describes it as "HSALNT0387520". Lineage: Eukaryota; Metazoa; Chordata; Mammalia; Primates; Hominidae. The record is from RNAcentral.